Molecule: non-coding RNA, 145 nt
Organism: Orientia tsutsugamushi
Lineage: Bacteria; Pseudomonadati; Pseudomonadota; Alphaproteobacteria; Rickettsiales; Rickettsiaceae
Source: Rfam
UCUGUUGUUCUAUCAACAUAAGCCUACUGGUAUAUGCAAAGAAGUGAUUUGAUGUAUAAAAAGUAUAAAGCAAAGCUAUCAGGACAAUGUACUCGGCUCAAAAGUGGAUCAGAAUCGUGAGAGGAAGAUUAAGUUUCAUGUGGUC